Molecule: small RNA, 71 nt
Filed under: Acidithiobacillus caldus SM-1
Lineage: Bacteria; Pseudomonadati; Pseudomonadota; Acidithiobacillia; Acidithiobacillales; Acidithiobacillaceae
Description: int-alpA RNA
Rfam family: int-alpA RNA
About the family: Acidobacteria (1 example), Planctomycetes (1 example), Proteobacteria. Environment (Lake Washington)
Source: Rfam by way of RNAcentral
CCGUCACCUAGCCCGACGGGGCGAAAGGCUGGGCACCCUUCCCGGCUUGGUGGCGGCUCCUAUUUCAAAGG